GACAGAGGGGGCAAGCGUUGCUCGGAAUCACUGGGCGUAAAGGGCGCGUAGGCGGGCCGCCGCGUCCGGGGUGAAAUCCUCCCGCUCAACGGGAGAGCGGCCUCGGAUACGGGCGGCCUGGAGGGGGGUAGGGGCGUGCGGAACUGUGGGUGGAGCGGUGAAAUGCGUUGAUAUCCACAGGAACUCCGGUGGCGAAGGCGGCACGCUGGACCCCUCCUGACGCUGAGGCGCGAAAGCCAGGGGAGCGAACGGG
This 253-nucleotide ribosomal RNA is filed under the name uncultured bacterium. RNAcentral describes it as "partial 16S ribosomal RNA". It matches the Rfam family "Bacterial small subunit ribosomal RNA", at positions 524 to 776 of the family's 1533-position model. The record is from RNAcentral.